GAGAGUUUAGUAUCCUCGGCGUACAGGAGUGAACGACUGGCGGCGUGCGUAACACAUGCAAGUACGAACGAAGCGAUGGAAGACGGAAUUUUUCGGUAAGGAAGUCUCUAUGACUGAGUGGCGGACGGGUGAGUACGCGUGGUAACCUGCUCAUACAGGGGGAUAACAGUUAGAAAUGACUGCUAAUACCGCAUAAGACCACAGUGCCGCAUGGCACAGGGGCCAAAGCCUUGACGGUAUGAGAUGGACCCGCGUCUGAUUAGGGUAGUUGGUGGGGUAACGGCCUACCAAGCCGACGAUCAGUAGCCGACCUGGGAGGGUGACCGGCCACAUUGGGACUGAGACACGGCCCAAACUCCUACGGGAGGCAGCAGUGGGGAAUAUUGCACAAUGGGGGGAAACCCUGAUGCAGCGACGCCGCGUGAGUGAAGAAGUAUUUCGGUAUGUAAAGCUCUAUCAGCAGGGAAGAAAAUGACGGUACCUGACUAAGAAGCCCCGGCUAACUACGUG
This 510-nucleotide ribosomal RNA is filed under the name uncultured Lachnospiraceae bacterium. RNAcentral's name for it is "bacterial SSU rRNA". It matches the Rfam family "Bacterial small subunit ribosomal RNA", at positions 1 to 507 of the family's 1533-position model. The record is from RNAcentral. Lineage: Bacteria; Bacillati; Bacillota; Clostridia; Lachnospirales; Lachnospiraceae.